CCGAGAUCUACACGUAAGGAGUCGUCGGCAGCGUCAGAUGUGUAUAAGAGACAGGUGGUAAAGGAUGUGGGAUUGCACAGACAACCAGGAUGUUGGCUUAGAAGCAGCCACUCAUUCAAAGAGUGCGUAAUAGCUCACUGGUCGAGUGAUCCUGCGCCGAAGAUUUCCGGGGCUAAAACUUACUACCGAAGCUACGGCAUCAGUAAUGAUGGGUAGGGGAGCUUCCCAUACGGGUUGAAGCAUGACCGUAAGGACAUGUGGACAGUAUGGGAGUGAGAAUGUUGGCAUGAGUAGCGAGAUGUGGGUGAGAAUCCCACAGGCCGUAAACCCAAGGUUUCCAGGGGAAGGUUCGUCCGCCCUGGGUUAGUCGGGACCUAAGCUGAGGCCGAAAGGCGUAGGUGAUGGACAACAGGUUGAUAUUCCUGUACUACCGAUAACCGUUUGAGAGAAGGGAUGACACAGUAGGAUAAGCUAAGCACACUGUUGGUUAUGUGUGCCCAAGCAUUGAGGCAGUCAAAGUAGGCAAAUCCGCUUUGAUAAUGCUGGGAUGUGAUGGGGAGCGAAAUUUAGUAGCGAAGUAGCUGAUUUCACACUGUCAAGAAAAGUCUCUAUCGAGGUUAAAGGUACCCGUACCGCAAACCGACACAGGUGGGUGAGGAGAGUAUCCUAAGGCCAGCGAGAGAACUGUUGUUAAGGAACUCGGCAAAAUGACCCCGUAACUUAGGGAUAAGGGGUGCCACCAUCAGGUGGCCGCAGAGAAUAGGCCCAAGCGACUGUUUACCAAAAACAUAGGUUUCUGCUAAGUCGCAAGACGAUGUAUAGGAGCUGACGCCUGCCCGGUGCUGGAAGGUUAAGGGGAUCUGUUAGAGCAAUCGAAGCAGUGAACUUAAGCCCCAGUAAACGGCGGCCGUAACUAUAACGGUCCUAAGGUAGCGAAAUUCCUUGUCGGGUAAGUUCCGACCCGCACGAAAGGCGUAACGAUUUGGGCACUGUCUCAACAACAGACUCGGUGAAAUUGUAAUUCCGGUGAAGAUGCCGGAUACCUGCGACAGGACGGAAAGACCCCAUGGAGCUUUACUGUAGCUUGACAUUGGGUCUUGGUACUACAUGUACAGGAUAGGUGGGAGGCUUUGAAACCAGGACGCCAGUUUUGGCGGAGCCAUCCUUGGGAUACCACCCUUGUAGUACUGGGACUCUAACCAUAGGCCAUGAAUCUGGUCUUGGGACACUGUCAGGUGGGCAGUUUGACUGGGGCGGUCGCCUCCCAAAAGGUAACGGAGGCGCUCAAAGGUUCUCUCAGUACGGUCGGAAAUCGUACGUAGAGUGUAAAGGCAAAAGAGAGCUUGAUUGCAAGACAUACAGGUCGAGCAAGGAUGAAAAUCGGACUUAGUGAUCCGGUGGUUCUGCGUGGAAGGGCCAUCGCUCAACGGAUAAAAGCUACCCUGGGGAUAACAGGCUUAUCUCCCCCAAGAGUCCACAUCGACGGGGAGGUUUGGCACCUCGAUGUCGGCUCAUCACAUCCUGGGGCUGUAGUAGGUCCCAAGGGUUGGGCUGUUCGCCCAUUAAAGUGGUACGCGAGCUGGGUUCAGAACGUCGUGAGACAGUUCGGUCCCUAUCCGUCGCAGGCGUAGGAAAUUUGAGAAGACCUGUCCUUAGUACGAGAGGACCGGGAUGGACGUACCUCUGGUGUACCAGUUG
This 1698-nucleotide ribosomal RNA is filed under the name Clostridioides difficile. RNAcentral describes it as "bacterial LSU rRNA". It matches the Rfam family "Bacterial large subunit ribosomal RNA", at positions 1005 to 2723 of the family's 2925-position model. The record is from RNAcentral. Lineage: Bacteria; Bacillati; Bacillota; Clostridia; Peptostreptococcales; Peptostreptococcaceae.